Molecule: long non-coding RNA, 4437 nt
Organism: Amphiprion ocellaris (clown anemonefish)
Lineage: Eukaryota; Metazoa; Chordata; Actinopteri; Pomacentridae
Exons: 6
Source: RefSeq, a predicted model, not a curated record
AAAGUAUAUUCCAGCCUUAAGCUUGUGUAGCAGGAUGAAUGCUGCACUCUCCUUGGGUUGGCUGUGUUAUGCUCCUGUGACAUAAUGACCGUGCCUUGCUUUGACCAAUCAUGACACGAGGAUGCACUAUAAAGCUGGGCAAGGGUUACUCACUGUUCUCUUGCUGCAACGUCAGGGGCACGCCCCGCUUCCCGUUUGCCUCACUUCCUGUUUGCCUCACUUCCUGUUUACCAUUGCUGACAGGGUCACUGUUGGGUGUCCAUAGCCAGAGAGCUGAGCCGCUCGCUGGCUGCUGUAUGUCCAGUUCGAGCCGUGAGCCGCUCGUGAGCCGUUACUGGCUGUUACCGUGGCUGCCGGUUGCUCCCCGUUCCCUUGUGGUGGACAAAAUUUACUGAUUGGCGGGCCGCCGCUUGUCUGGAGCUGUGCUGGCUACACAGGGUCCCAAACGUAGGAGACGCUGCUGUUUUGCCUCCGCGGGUUUGUCUCGCAGACGUGGGUCUGUGUUGCCGACGCUUGCCGGUCGGCUUCGUCUUCUUUUAGUCCGUUAUCUGCUUUUGUGUUGGCGCUGUGGGUGUUGGGCUGCUUCCAGCUUGUCUCUGUGGCUGCUGACCAAUCGUUGCACAUACUGCUUCUUCUAAUGUCCAGAGUAAGCUGUGGGCCUCCGGUGGCGGGGACUGGUGUCUUCGGGUGGUGGGAACCCCUUCCUGUGUGGUGUGCUGCUCAUCCCCUGGUUGUUUUAUUUAUUUCUUCACUCAGGUGUGUGUGUGUGUGUGUGUGUGUGUGUGUGUGUGUGUGUGUGUGUGUGUGUGUGUGUGUGUGUGUGUGUGUGUGUGUGUGUGUGUGUGUGUGUGUGUGUGUGCGCGUGCGCAUGUUCACGUUCACGUGUGAGUGGGGUGAUUUCUCCUGGGCUCCCUUGUGAUGCCCGUUGGCCCAAACCUCCACCAGAGAGCCCCCAGCUCUGAUUAGUCCCCAAACCCGUCAUUUAACAAUCUCGUGUGAAUGGUUGUUUUUUUUUUUUUUUUUUUUUUUUUUGGUUUUAAACUGAGUAUUUUUAGUAUUAAAUAAAAUUUGUAUUUUUUGUCUGCACUGGAAUCAUAUCUCUUGCCUCAUCAGUGGAACGAACCUGAGUUGCCUUCUCGUUAGUGGUGGUUAUAAUUCCCUGGGUGAAAGUCCCAGGGUGGCGUUGUCUGGCCAGUGUCUACAUUCAGUAAUUGUAGCACGUUAGUUUAUCCCCGACCCCUGCGCUCGCCACACUUGUUUUAUGCUUACCGCGUCCGCGAGGUCCGUGCGGCUCCGUGCGGAAAAAUUACGUCAUUUUCGCACCCCGCCCCCUCCGGCGGCCUUUCCGUGCGGAAAAUUUUCGCUCCACACACCUCAACAUUUUUCUAACCAACGCGGACGGAGCCGCACGGAAAAACAUGGCGGAGGGCCAGGACCUACUCGUAGCUGAAGUCUAGAAAUACGUGCACCUAUAUGAUUCAUCUCACAGAGAUCACCGUGGUAACCGGGUUAUGAACUAUUCAUGGUGUGAAAUAAAACUAACUGCUGAAAUGCUUUUAUUUGGUAAAAUGCCGUGUUGUAAGUGGUGUAAACCAUGGCAAACUUCUUCUUCUCUAGUUUAGUACCAGAGUAGACCAGGUGUCGCUGUGUCGAUGUCCACAGCUUGUUAGUGCUUCUUCCAGUGCUGCUCCUCCCUCGCUGUUCUCUCUACUGUAUGCCAUGGUACACAAUGUUUUUUUCCUGGGGAGGGACGAGGACUUAGUGCUAGACUUUAAUCCCCUUUCAUGACCAUGAUGAGUAGUUACCAUUAUUAUUGUUCUGAUUAUGAUGAUUUAUCGUUGUUCUUCUAUAUUACUGAAUGUUUUCCUUUCUUCUGUGUGUUUGAGCUACACUGCCCCCGGCAGUUUGGAAGCAGACUUCUUCUUCCCUAGUUUAUUACUAGAGUAGACCAGGUAGACGUGUGUUAGGGAUACACUGCCCCCUGCAGUUUGGGAGCAGACGCGCACGGCCCGCAAUAGCAUAGCUGCAAGUGUAGCUUCUGAUAGCCGUGCCUUAGCAGCUCCCGAGCAGCCGGGAAGUCAAGGUAGCUGGAUGACAGUUCGUAGGAAACGUAGUCCUAAACUCAACCCGCUGUCCCGGCACACCACAAACCCCUUCACGUUUCUAAUCGUUUUUCCCCACUCAACGACACACCCGCUGAGAAACAAACUCUGAUCAUUGGCAGCUCCAGGGUUGCCACCUUUCAGAAAUUAAAAUAAAGGACGGCCACCACGGCUUCUUGGGGCCACAGUUCAGUAAAGUUGGAAAAAUAUUCACAGAUUCAGACUUCCAGCAUUCCAGCAUUAGAUAUACUUUGUCAAAAGAUAAACAAUGCCUCUUUCCCGUCGUUGUAAGGCAGACAAUGUGCUACAUUGUCUUACUUAUCAAAAGUAGCUGUCUUUCAAGCUGCAGUUUACUGAACUACCACCCAAGGAGUGGUAAUAUUUAAUUUUGAAAAAAGCACUUAGCCUUACUUAAAGCUUUAAGUAUGGAGUCACAGGAGUGUCACAAUAAAAUAUAAAUAAAUAAGGAAAUAAAUGUGGAAAUAUAAAGAGAAAUAAAUAAAUAAAUGUGGAAAUAUAAAGAGAAAUAAAUAAAUAAAUGUGGAAAUAUAAAGAGAAAUAAAUAAUUGUGGAAAUAAAUGUGGAAAUAUAAAGAGAAAUAAAUGAAUAAAUAAAUAAACAUAAAGAGAAAUAAAUAAAUAAAUAUAAAGAGAAAUAAAUAAAUAAAAAGGGAAAUUUUCUCUUUGGUUUUCCCUUUUCUCUUUUUUUCCUUUUAUUUUUCCAGUUUGUCAUUGUCUUUUCCGUUUUGCAUUUGCCUUUUCCUUUUGGCACUCAGUCCAUCAAGUAAAAGCAAAGUCAAAAGCCUUGGCUUGACUUGGUGGACUGAGCUGUCAAUCAAAUGGCUCUGGGCGGGGCUUUCUGUCCAGGGUGAGUAAUCGUACCUGAUCACAGGAUUCCUGCUUGGCGAUAGCUCCUAGCCCGGCUAAACGGAAGUGAUGUUACCUUGGCGCUGAGAGGAAGUGCAGACAACGCAGUUUGCAAAUACACGAACGUGACACUUUCAGCGGAUCAGAGUAGCUGGAUUUCUCAAUGUUUGGACUCUGUAGCGGGAUAUGAAGAAGUCAGUAUCUCAGUUGGUCAGAGAAGAAGCUGACAGGCUGGAUGAGCAAGCACAUCCAAACACCCCGUCGCCGAGACAGUCGGAUUCAACGCUGUUAACAAGAGACCCCAUUGAUGGUAAGUAGUUAUUACUUCUUUUGUUGAGUUAUAGUAAAACUAGCCAGAAAGUGCAUUGUGCGACGCUGAAGUCAGCUUUUCAGCUUCCGAUUCGGCAGUUCAAUGAAUAGUCAAGGGGAACUUGAACACGGUUUUGUGAAAAGUAAAGAGUAUAUGCAACUGGAAGCUUCUGGUAACACUUCCUUCAUUGCUUUUCUCUAAAAGCUGAGGUGUCAAGACUUUUCUUGUCAUACCAGACCUCUUCACGGUCUCUGACCCCACGUCACAGGCCAAUGCUAUUUCCAAGAAGCUGUGCUGUUUCGUACUCACCACAGCAACUUCUGGACUGCAUCAUUUGGCCAGUGGAAUCCGAUAGUGAUGAGGACACAAGUCUGGAGGAAAAGUGCCAUAUCUCUGGAUUUCUGAGAGAAUACAUUGAAAAUGCCUCCUCACGAUGUUUUCAGGAACUUCUGAAGUUCUGGCAGGGGUGGAAGGUUCUUCCAAAAGAGCUGCAUGUGGAAAUUGUGCAUGGACAAAUGCCUCAGUCAAGCACAUGCAUGGAGACUCUUCGGCUGCCUUCACGCUAUAAGUCUUAUGAUGUUUUCUGUGAGGCUCUGAACGCAGCAGUCAGUUCUGUUCAAACAGGGUUUGGACUUGUUUAAAGUCACAACUUCAAGUGUUAUGCAGCCAAUUAAUGUUACCAAAAUGCAUAAAAUGUUAAAGCAGAUAUGUUUAGUUGUUUUGACAAUUGUUCUGAUGUGAUGUAAGCUUGUGAGGCAAAUGCAUGCUUCAGGAGAAGGUUCACAACAGUUCUUGUUUUUUCUGCUGCCAGGCUCAAAUUGUUGUGUGUGACAUUUAACAUGUAACAGAAAUGUGGCGGCCAGUGAGUUGUUGCAGGAAGACAGUUUAAAGGUGAGAGUUGAGAGAGUGAAUUAAUGGAGUAGCUUAUUUUUAUGUAAAAGAUUACAAACCUGAACUAUGGUUCAGGUUUGUGCAUUUCUGAACUGUGACAACAAAAUGUUUCCACACUUGGAGAAGACUGUGUUUGGGGAACAGUUGUAAUAUAAAUGUGUGGAAGUUAAAGAAAAGAAUUAUCAGUUCUGUUAAAAAAUGUUUUUUUUAUUGGCACAUUGUUUUAAUGCUUUCAAAUUAUUCAGCAUGCAAUAAAAGCAGUUUUGUA